AGUAAAAGUCGUAACAAGGUCUCCGUAGGUGAACCUGCGGAGGGAUCAUUACAAGUGACCCCGGCUACGGCCGGGAUGUUCAUAACCCUUUGUUGUCCGACUCUGUUGCCUCCGGGGCGACCCUGCCUUCGGGCGGGGGCUCCGGGUGGACACUUCAAACUCUUGCGUAACUUUGCAGUCUGAGUAAACUUAAUUAAUAAAUUAAAACUUUUAACAACGGAUCUCUUGGUUCUGGCAUCGAUGAAGAACGCAGCGAAAUGCGAUAAGUAAUGUGAAUUGCAGAAUUCAGUGAAUCAUCGAAUCUUUGAACGCACAUUGCGCCCCCUGGUAUUCCGGGGGGCAUGCCUGUUCGAGCGUCAUUUCACCACUCAAGCCUCGCUUGGUAUUGGGCAACGCGGUCCGCCGCGUGCCUCAAAUCGACCGGCUGGGUCUUCUGUCCCCUAAGCGUUGUGGAAACUAUUCGCUAAAGGGUGUUCGGGAGGCUACGCCGUAAAACAACCCCAUUUCUAAGGUUGACCUCGGAUCAGGUAGGGAUACCCGCUGAACUUAAGCAUAUCAAUAAGCGGAGGA
RNAcentral lists this ribosomal RNA (570 nucleotides) under uncultured fungus. RNAcentral's name for it is "eukaryotic LSU rRNA". The stretch from base 206 to 359 matches the Rfam family "5.8S ribosomal RNA". The record is from RNAcentral. Lineage: Eukaryota; Fungi.